GUUAAAUUUCUAACCGUUAUUAAAUCAUAUUUUUAAAAAAUUAAAAAACAACAGCUUAUUACUUUUGCCCCGUUUAUUUCCCUCACUUAACAAAAAUCAAAACCCGCCCCUCUUUUCCCUCCCGACACUUUAACCAAAUACCUCCUCCCUCCCGAAAUAUUCCAUCUCCCUCCUCCAUCCCGACACAUCUCCCUCUCCCUCCUCCCUCCCUACACUUCUCACCUCUCACUCCCCCACUCUGUCGCCUCGCUGUCACCUCCGCAUCUCUCACAUUUCACUGGUGUCUCUCACAUCUUCGUCGUAUCAAAUUAGGGUUUCAAUUUAACCCCAAAUUGGUGCUUCGAGAAUCACCUAAUUUCUCAACCUGAAGCACCUAAUUUCUCUCUAAUUAGGUUUAUUUCGAUUAAGUUUUGUUUUCACUAAUUUUUGGGUUUUUCAUUUUUGAACAGAUCUGGAGGUUUGAAGGCUUGAAGAAGUUUUACUGAACUUGAAGAGUUUACACUGAACUGGAAGAGUUUUCCAUGUGACUGACCUUGAUGGGAAUUCAAGGUGUGGACACACAAUGGACGCAUUGCAUCGCUCAUUUAUGUUAAAGAUUGUGAUUCAGGGUACCAAAUUUAAGCUGAAGACUGACCAAAUAUGGAGUUCUUCACUGACAUUUACAGUGAGACUAAAUGCCUGAGCAAUUGCGGAGAGCCCUCUCAAAAAAUGAAGUUGUGAACAGGGCUCAACAGGGCUCCAGGAAUAACUGGUCUGCUACAUAUCAACUGCUGCAUGGACAAAUUUGAGGACCUGGAAAAUCACUUAAGUAUCAGCAUUUUCCACUCGUUCUCAACAGCCUGGAGGGUAUAAUCUACACUCACCUAUCUACUUACUAUCUUCAAUUCUGAACUAAGAUAAUUAACAGCUAUUGUAUAU
Daucus carota subsp. sativus is the source of this 918-nucleotide long non-coding RNA. RefSeq lists it as uncharacterized. The transcript is spliced from 4 exons. The record is from RefSeq and is a predicted model, not a curated record. NCBI's taxonomy places the organism in Eukaryota, Viridiplantae, Streptophyta, Magnoliopsida, Apiales, Apiaceae.